ACCUUAGUUAUUAAGCGUUCGUUGGCGACCAGACUAUUGCUUGAUUCGGUGAGGGCGUGGGCGAAGAGCUGCCACGGCAACAAGGCGCAGAACGUAAAUAUGGGAUAAGGAAUGCCGUCGGAAGGAACCUUUGCGAGCCUGCCGAAGAACAAGCUGAAGACAAGCAUCAUGAACAGCGGUUGAAUUAUCGCCCACGCAGCUCCCAGGGCCGUUUGCUUGUAGCGCACCUUAAUGUCGCGCAACGUGAGGAAGUAAAGCAGCUCGCGAUAAUCCCAGAGCUCGCGAAAUCCGAUCGAGGUCCAGCCACUUGGG
RNAcentral lists this unclassified non-coding RNA (312 nucleotides) under fungal sp. RNAcentral describes it as "partial internal transcribed spacer region". Lineage: Eukaryota; Fungi. The record is from RNAcentral.